Molecule: ribosomal RNA, 253 nt
Filed under: uncultured bacterium
Lineage: Bacteria
Description: partial 16S ribosomal RNA
Rfam family: Bacterial small subunit ribosomal RNA
Source: RNAcentral
UACGGAGGGUGCGAGCGUUGUUCGGAAUCACUGGGCGUAAAGCGCGUGUAGGCGGCCCAUUAAGGCUGAUGUGAAAGCCCGGGGCUCACCCCCGGAAGUGCAUUGGAGACUGAUGGACUCGAGUCCCGGAGAGGAGAGUGGAAUUCCUGGUGUAGCGGUGAAAUGCGUAGAUAUCAGGAGGAACACCGGUGGCGAAGGCGGCUCUCUGGACGGUGACUGACGCUGAGACGCGAAAGCGUGGGGAGCAAACAGG